RNAcentral lists this long non-coding RNA (486 nucleotides) under Anser brachyrhynchus (Pink-footed goose). RNAcentral describes it as "lncRNA (ENSABRG00000012776.1)". Lineage: Eukaryota; Metazoa; Chordata; Aves; Anseriformes; Anatidae. The record is from RNAcentral.
AAGCUUGAAGGUUUCCAGGACAUCACUCAAACCUGAGCAUGGACAUACAUAGUUAUACUUAUGGGAGCUGAGAGGAUUAAAGCCUAGGAACUGUCACACUGAAAUACAGACCUGGACUGCCUUGAGUAAAAAAAGAACUCCGUUAACUGACAACUCCAUCACCCCAUCAGACAGUGUGGCAGGGACAUUUCCCCUUCACCCUUUUGCAGGAUGCUGUAUCACCUUCAGACCCAAGGAACAUCACUAAGGACUCUGAAGAUCCACCCAAUUCAACUUAUGCUGCAUUAACAAAGGUACAGUUUAACCUUACUAGGAUAAAACCUUUGCCUACACAUUUAUUCAAAAAAUGCAGUAAAAUAUUUAACUAUUUGGUACUUCCUUAGGCAGUAACUUAGUAUUUUAACAGCCCAGAAAGUAGUGUACUUUAAUACUGAUAUAAUCUAAAUCAUUACAAACAUUUUACACUCACCCUCUCAUACAACUAGU